This 1173-nucleotide long non-coding RNA is filed under the name Papio anubis (olive baboon). RNAcentral's name for it is "lncRNA (ENSPANG00000044846.1)". The record is from RNAcentral. Lineage: Eukaryota; Metazoa; Chordata; Mammalia; Primates; Cercopithecidae.
AUGGGGGCUGAGGAUGGAACUGGGGGGGAGUCUCACCCUCCCUUCUUCCUGGGCCCUCAGAUCGAGUGUUCCGGUAUCUCUGAUUAUGCAGUGACGAUCGUCAAAGCCAACAAGUUAGACCACGGAGGUGGACAUCUACACUGUCAAGGUGGGAGACCGGACGUUCACCUCCCGCUUCUGCCUGCAGGUGAAGCAGAACGACUAUGUGCACGCCCUGGUGGCCUACUUCAAUAUCCAGUUAUAGAACUGAUAACAGAAGGGCAUCCUGGCCAUUUCACCCAUGGACUUGAACUUGCCCGUGGACUGAGAUCUUCCUCAGAAGCUGCUACAAGAUUGGACCUCAUGUCCCUGCCCUCUUCAUGUACUUUUCCAAGCCUUCCUAUUCUACUCAGGGCUGUGAGGUGAUGGUUGUCCUUCCAAUUUUUGUCAAAAAUAAAUUGUUUAAAAAUUGUCAUAUUAAAAACAUUACAAAGUAUUCAAUUGUCUGUUCUUUCACUCGAGAACUAAAGUUCUAAGUAGAGAAGAUUUGGUUCAGAGAUCUCUGUGGUUUACAAAUUGAAGGAUAUCUAUUUGGAGUACCUACAAGGGCCUAUUGCCUGGAUGUGUAACAUAUUUGAGGAUAUCUAUAAAUAUGAUUCCAGCAACUUGCAUUUUUUUCUCCUAUUGUGCAAUCUGGUUAUUCCAGCUAAUCAUGUGUUGAUGGUCAUGAAGUCUUUCCAGCGAGUUCCAGAGAAAGGUACAGUCUAACUUCACCUGUGUCUAGGAUACCACCGUCUUCUUGCUUUUCUCCUCCUAUUGCUCUUUUUGAGUCUUUUUUGCUGAUUUCUCAUCUACCUAUAGACAGUUGUUUGUCACACACCCAUACACAACUUUUUUUUUUUGAGACAGGGUCUUGUUCUGUUGCCUAGGCUGAAAUACAGUGGUGCUACCAUGACUUACUACAGCCUUGACCUCCUGGGCUCAAGUGAUCCUCCCACAUCAGCCUCUCCAGUAGCUAGGAAUAAAGGCAUGUACUACUACAUCUAGCUAAUUUAAAAAAAAAUUGUAGAAAUGUUGUCUUGUAACCUUUGUUUUCCCAAAGGUUACUGAACUGCUGCCUAAGCCUAUGUACCUUGAUUUUAAGAAGGCCUCUGCUUGAGACUUAGAGAGGUUUAGUGGUAUCUACUAUCAUCC